UUGUAGCAAGCGAAUGAUGAUGCGAUUCCAGCUCGAGCACCUUCGAAUCACUCGAUUUCUCAAGCUGCCAUGGAAAUGCCUUCUUGCAACAGCUGCGAUUUCUUGCUCGAAUUUCGCUCAAAACCUGCAAACAGCAAUUCAACAAUACAUGUAUAUGACGGAUUGCAAAGAAUUAACACCAAAUCAGUGAGGGUUGAUGAAUUGGUGCAAAAAUUCUUGGUGAAGAGUUGGAGGGAAAAUGAGAGAAAAUGGAGUUUUGGCUUUGAGAUUUUCUGUUAGAUCCUCAAUUGUGAUGGUGAAUUAUGAUUAGUUN
RNAcentral lists this long non-coding RNA (313 nucleotides) under Lathyrus oleraceus (garden pea). RNAcentral's name for it is "Pisum sativum (pea) long non-coding RNA (PSAT_LNC027054)". Lineage: Eukaryota; Viridiplantae; Streptophyta; Magnoliopsida; Fabales; Fabaceae. The record is from RNAcentral.